UGUUGUAUUGAUAUUUUCAGGCUAGCAUUGGAGCUUGCUCAGGAGUUGUCUGUAACGCGGGCACCGUGUGUUUAACACUCACUCAGGGAGGAUACAGCUGUGUCGUCACGGAUCGUUGGUGCCCGACCUAUAUAAAUGGACGAUGUUACACACUCAGUGACAAUGUCGCCAAGUGGAGUUUUGCCAAGAUUGCCUGCGAGAGAAAUGGCUAUUCCUUAGCUACAGUAGAUUCGGCGGAUUUAUUACUGACAUUGUCAAAUGGUCUACCUACAGGAAUCAGGGUGUUCGUUGGAGGCACCAACAUCGCAAAUGAAACACAGUGGUUUUGGACAGACGGAAAUAUCCCUAUAGAUUUUACAGGAAUUCCGCACUACCUGCAAUAUGACCUGGAACAUAAGGAUUGUCUCGCGAUAGAAGUCAGUGAUUCCAUAAAGCUGGUAGACAGCAACUGUGCUCAUGAGUUUUUAUACAUGUGUCAAUCACCACUUAUCAAGUAAGGGAUGUCAUUAUAUGAAGAGUUCCAUUCUUAGAUUUAUAUAAAAUAAGUGGCGUAAUAAGGUAGCAUAUCCAUCAAUCCCUACAAAUCUGACAAACGAAUACUGUUGUGCUUAGAUAUAUUGCACAAGUUGUAAUUUUCAAAGGUUAACAACAGUGCUUUCGAC
Long non-coding RNA from Pecten maximus, 662 nucleotides. RefSeq lists it as uncharacterized. The transcript is spliced from 4 exons. The record is from RefSeq and is a predicted model, not a curated record. Lineage: Eukaryota; Metazoa; Mollusca; Bivalvia; Pectinida; Pectinidae.